This 23510-nucleotide long non-coding RNA is filed under the name Eucalyptus grandis. RNAcentral describes it as "long non-coding RNA (EGRA_LNC004540)". Lineage: Eukaryota; Viridiplantae; Streptophyta; Magnoliopsida; Myrtales; Myrtaceae. The record is from RNAcentral.
ACUAACCUUCCUGGACUUGUUCCUCCACUACCAGAUGUUGGGAGGCAUAAAAAUCGGAGCAGGGGAAAAGUUGUAAGAGGUUCAAACCCAAAGAUAAAAUGGAGGAAACUUCAUAUCUGUGAAACAAACCAACAUGAAGUCACCAGAUAUCCUGACAUCCAACUCAAUUGCCCAGGCUUUGAUGCACAAGAAUCGGCCUCUCAACAUGUGGGAGUCUUGGUAACUCUCGAAAUUUAUUUUAGAAAAGGAUGAGCAAUGAUCAUGGGCAGAUAUUGAUUCCCACAGGUCAUUGCUUUCCUUUUAGAAAAUUUUGCCCAUCUCCCACGAGUUUCAACCCUUGUUUCCCUUCCCCCUUUUUUUUAAUUGAAACUUUCCUCGUAGAAGACUCCAAAAAUCUCUUUUUAUUCUGCCAACCUACGGUUUCCCCUCGAGUCUCCAUUGGAUUCGAUUUCUUCAGCCGCGUUGAACCACUUGAUUCUCUAUUUUCCCUGUUGUUCCUUGGCCGAGAAUCUCCAGAAUAUGCGUCCCUUGUUCACUUCCCAAUUUCGCAAAAAUUAACGCCUCAAAUCUCACCUUCCUUUGCUCGAUGGGAAUUGGUUGAACUUUAUUGCCCUUUGUUCAUGUUGCGAAGAGGAAGCUGAAUCCUAAAAGCCACGUCCCCAGAUCUGGGCAAGGCUGGCCGUGACCCUCACCCAAACGGUGAUCGCGGAAAGAGAAAAUAGGAAAAGAGGAAAAAGAAAAUAAAAAAUAAAAAAUUCGAAAAAUAUUAAAAUAUUUUAAAAAUUGUUCACAUGAGUGCUGGUCGAGUCGCAUAGAAUGGAUAAUGUCCAAGUCAGCAAACUCUGGCCAUAAUUGGCCGAAUAUGAAAAUGUUUAGAAUUUAAUUGAUAAAAUUGAAAGGUUUAUGAUUAAAUUGACAAUAAUUCAAUAGGUUUAUAACUUUUUUGACAAUNNNNNNNNNNNNNNNNNNNNNNNNNNNNNNNNNNNNNNNNNNNNNNNNNNNNNNNNNNNNNNNNNNNNNNNNNNNNNNNNNNNNNNNNNNNNNNNNNNNNNNNNNNNNNNNNNNNNNNNNNNNNNNNNNNNNNNNNNNNNNNNNNNNNNNNNNNNNNNNNNNNNNNNNNNNNNNNNNNNNNNNNNNNNNNNNNNNNNNNNNNNNNNNNNNNNNNNNNNNNNNNNNNNNNNNNNNNNNNNNNNNNNNNNNNNNNNNNNNNNNNNNNNNNNNNNNNNNNNNNNNNNNNNNNNNNNNNNNNNNNNNNNNNNNNNNNNNNNNNNNNNNNNNNNNNNNNNNNNNNNNNNNNNNNNNNNNNNNNNNNNNNNNNNNNNNNNNNNNNNNNNNNNNNNNNNNNNNNNNNNNNNNNNNNNNNNNNNNNNNNNNNNNNNNNNNNNNNNNNNNNNNNNNNNNNNNNNNNNNNNNNNNNNNNNNNNNNNNNNNNNNNNNNNNNNNNNNNNNNNNNNNNNNNNNNNNNNNNNNNNNNNNNNNNNNNNNNNNNNNNNNNNNNNNNNNNNNNNNNNNNNNNNNNNNNNNNNNNNNNNNNNNNNNNNNNNNNNNNNNNNNNUUAUGCCAAUAAUUUCUCUGUACUAUUCAAAUUAAUUACAAAAAAAACCAAUGUAUAUCCCAUGAAUAAUAUUUGUCUGGAGUAUAUUACUAACAGAGUCUCAAAGUGAGGAGGGGCUGUGGCAAUGAGCUAUCAAAAAAAAAUAAAAAAUAGUCUCGCAUUCUCAAUAGAAAAAGAAAAAGUAAAAAAAGGACAGUCUCGCAUCAUCUACUUUUCGAGAAUUAAUUUCGUUUCUUCUAGUGAGACUCAUUCCUUCUUUUCCCUCUAUAUUAAACAUGGCUGCAGACCACCGGGGACCUCCUUGAAAAGAAAACAUGUUGGUUGUUCCAGAUGCCAUCAAGCCAAGAACUUCGUGUUUCUCAUGAUCGUUAUAUAUAUGUAAUAUGUCAUAAUACUCUUGGUAUGUUCAAGAUGUAGUAGAAUUACUUCAAUUCCCUAUAUUCCGCAAAUCAUAUUCCAUACAUUCUCAUCUGUAGACUUGUCUUGACAAUAGUAAAAUAAAAAGAGAUAAAUUUCACAGUUUAAUAUUGAAUAAUGUUCACCCGAGUAGAGACAACUCAACACUGUCUUGCACAUUAGGAAGUGGGGCAAUUUCAUUGGUCCACUCAAGGAGCCUCCUAUCUCGAUACCUAUCUGGUGGCAUAAUUGUUCAAAAUUUUUUAAAUAUAUUGUAUGAUGAUCAAUUCAUUUAUACUUUUUGUUGUCAAUUAAGUUCUAAACUUUAUGACAAUUUGCCUAUAUAGACUUCUGUCAAUUUUGCCCAUAAAAUGCUAACAUGGUGGUCAAGUCAAAGUCGCUAUUUUUCGUAGUACGAUUGACGAUGACAUGGAUGCUUUUUGAAAAAAAUUAUAUUUUUUUUCCUUUUUCUUUACUUUUAUUUUUUUUUCAUUCAUUGUAUUAUUGGUAGGAAAAACAAUAUAUAUUUUUUCCCAAAAUUUGUCCACGCCAGUGCCGGCCAUACCACAUUAGAUGGUUACGGUAACUGAAUUGCCAUUUCAAUGAUUUUAGGCAAAAAUUGACCAAAAGUGGUACUUUGGUCUUGGAUUAAAUUGGCAAAAUUAAAAAAAAAAAAAUCAAGAUUGUACUGACUACCAUAUGAUAGGUUUACGACUUGCUCGGAAAUUUUCCAUUAUUCGGUUGUGACAAGCGGGCUGCCUAGUGUAAUAAGAAUGGCCUGACGCUCUAAGAGAUCCAUAUACUCAAAGAAAAAAAAAAAUGAAAAAGAAAGGAGUGCAUGAACAAGACUGUGAAGCUAAAACAAUGCUAAUAGGUGCAACUGUGAUAAGGGUUACAUUGCAGUUGUUGGGGGCAAACCAUGAAUUUUAGCUUGAAAAAGACCUAUUGACAAGUCGUAAUUGCCCCAUGGUCCAUGAAUGACGGCUACUCUAGAAAUUAAGCACUACCCGAGUCCAUUCUAAGAAAAUUUAGGGAUACUUUACUCAUCUUUUUGUAUGCUGAGCUUCGGUAUAUGCCUACUAUAUUUUGUCCUUGAUAAGCAAAUGUACAUAAUAUAUAUGAGGUGAAAGACAAUUCUAUGAGAAAUUAUACAAUAGUCUAGAUGUAAUAUCAUUUGGAUGUACAAUGCCAAGAAGAGAAUUCCUAUCGAGCAAUAUAGGUGUUGACAAAGAAAGGAUUUUUUGCUCUGGACUUUUCCACCUAUCAGCUCGUCCUAUUGGCCUCAUCAUUAGCACGUAUAUCUCUUGGGUCACUGGGAGGGAUGACCUAAAUCUGUGCUAUCCGCUUGGCUUACCAACUAGAGAAGGUGAUCGGCAUUUUAUGGCAAUACAAAAUCCGAAGCACAUUUAUUUCCUUAUUCGGUCUCGCAACCCCAGCCCUGGCGGUCCCUUAAUAAUAAAAAAAGAAUAAAAUAAAAUAAUUAAUAAAAAAUUAGAAAAAAAAUCAGUAUCGGUCGUGCCAUAUAGGAUGAUAAAUAUUCAGGUUGGCAAAAUAGGUUACACUGAAAAAUUAUCAAAAUGUUUACGAUUAUAUUGACCAAAUUGAGAAGUUUAAAAUUAAAUGAGUAAGUUCAUAGCUUCUUUAGUAAAAGGAAGGAGAGAUCAAGAAUCAAAGUCAGAAAUAUAUUUUGGUUGAGAACCGCGAAGGAUUCGGAACAACGAGCAAGAAUGAAAUCACCGCCUUGUCUUUCCCUCCCUCCCUCUCUAGACUUUGAGCAAGUUGUUCGUUUCUAGUUGCAGAGUUCAGAAGAUGCUCGGUUGCUCCUGCUGCCGAAUUUCGAACUCUGUCAUCGUCUACUCAUGCCUGAGAAAUGCAAGGGUCGGUUUGGUCAGGCCGAUUUCGAUUUUCAAGUUCUUGAUGGCUCCUGAAUUUUGUCAACAUUUUGGACACUUUCCGUUAGCGGCUUUUCGUCACCCGCACCCAAAGGCUAGAGAGAGAAAAAAGAGAAUAUAUUUUGGAGAGAGAGAGUGAUGAAAGGAAAAACCCUCAUUGAAAAAAUACAUAAAAUCCUUUAAUUCUUUAGAUGCGUUUGCUUCAUGAAAUAUCGCCAAUUUGAAAUACUUCUAAAUAUACUCACUUCUAUUACUUGUAACAAUGAAUUAAUGAGAGAAACAUUUUAUCAUCAAUAACAUGUUUAGGCAAAGAUUAUUAUUGAUGAGAAAAUAUAUUCCAUUAACUAAUUUUUUCUAAUCAAUACAAAUAACUAUAUUUAGAAAAAUGUUUGUGAAUCAUUGAUUUUUCUCCAUGAAAAAUCAAUAAUAACUUUUGAAACUCAACCUCUUUCAUUUUUACUACUAAUAUCGCUGUUAGCUUCGUUAUCACAUUUUGGCCAUCAAAGACCUUUACUCUUAUAACUAAUAUUAAAGGAUUUUAGUCACUAAUGAGGACAAUUAGAGAAUAUUGCUAGAUUAAUAAGGCAUUAUGUAGUUUAGCAUCCAUAAAAAUUUAUCUAAUAGCCAUCUUCACGAUCGAUUCAAUAAGUUACUCUAGUUUCUAUUUUUCAAAGUAUUAAAAAGCACAAGUAAAAUUCACCAUGUAAUUGCAGAAUACUAUUUUAAUAUCACGUAAUAAUCAUUUAUGAUUAGAAAAUAUUUCAGUAUGAUAAAUGGAAUAUUGUACAGUAUAUAGUAUUGCUAUAUCAUAAUUAAUGCUAAUAAAAUAUUAUGAAAAAUUUAGCAUUGUUAUAUUCUAAUAAAUUUUUUUAUGAAUAAUUAAAAUUAACAAGACGUUGUAUUAUCGACAUUUAGUAACCUAAUAAUUGAUAUCAUAUUAUAUGAAUAGAAGGACAAAAAUGAAAUGGACAUUGCAUAGGUCUUCCUAAUGAAUCCCCGUUCCUUUAAAAGUUGGAACGAGCAUCCCCAUAUUUAGUAAAUACACUUAAUAAAGUCAAACGAUGAGACGUUAAAAAAGUUCAGAACCCGGUUAAUUAAUUUCCUUAUGGAAAAAGAAAAAUACCUUUUCGAUUACUAAGUAAACUUUCAUAAAAAAAAAAAAAAAAAAGAGCAUCCUCCCAUCUUCCUCUGUUUUUGCUGCGCUUUCGUCUUCCUCGGAGACUCUGUUCCUAGAGAGAGAAAGUAGAGAGAGAGGGAGAGAGGGAGAUGAGCAGGAACAGCAGCAGCAGGCUGAACUCGGUGUUCUACGCGGAGUCGUACCACCCGAUCCAGGCGGGCAGCAUCGACGGCACCGACGUCCUCCCCCACGACAACGCCGUCUCCCGCGCCCACCUCUGCUCCUCCGCCGGCCUCUGUAAAAUCCCCCCUCCCUCUUCUCUUUCCCGUUUUCCUUGCUUACUUCCUGGGUUUCUGACUCCGUUUUCGAUUCCCCCCCAGACGACCCCUUUGGCGAUCCCAAGGCCGUGGGCGACCCGUACUGCACCCACUUCGUCGGGCGCCUCUCCCACUUCACCUCCGAGGACACUCUCCUCAAGGUCUGGCCUUUGUCUUGAUUUUGAGGUUUUCUUUCACUCCCAUUUCUCUCUUCUCUCUCUUUUUGAGGAAGAGUUUUUUCUUUUUUUGUGGGUGUUUUAGUUGUGGAGUUCGUUUGAGGUGACAAUGGCUGCCUGCCUGCUUUGGGGAAGUACUUGGGAGAUAACUAAAUGAUGCAACUUUGGCGUCGUUCUCGUGAUUUAUGAGGGGAGUGUUGGGAGAUGGAACUUUGUUUUGUUUUCGAGGAUGGGAAUGGAAAUGCUUGCCGAAAUAUGGCAGUUUUGGUGUUUAAAAAACGUAUUUUUGGCGGUUCCGACUGCUAGAUGGAGCAUUUUGCCUUCAAUUACCGCUUUUUCUAACAGUCUUUCGAUUGAUUUAGGCUUUUUUGACCGACAGUAUGAGUUCCCUUGUGCAGGCUAUGAGCAAGUAUGGUCAUGUGAAAAACUUGCGCUUGGUCAGGCACAUUGGUAACCAUCUUAUUAGCUCUUGUAAUUUCUAUGAUUUUCAGUUCAUCGAGAGAUCAUGAUAAGUGCUUCGAGUUGAUAGUAAUUCAAACUUCACUUAAUAUGAAAGAAAUCUUGGUAGCUUGCACUUUACUCACUGUUUUGACAGAGCAGCAAUGCUCGAUCUCUAACUUAUUAUAUGCUUAGUUUUUUGAUACCCUAAUUUUUGUGGAGAUGUUUUAGCGGCAGUAGUGUAUAUAACUUUUUAACAUUACCGAUAGCCAAUUUGAAGCUAGUAAGGAUCGCUGGUUUUACCAUAUUCUUUAUCCUGUGCAUAUGAGCCGAUUGCAUUUUGGAUGGCAUAGUUGUUUGUGCCUCCUUUUAAAUUCGAGGUAUUGGCUCUACAAAUUUCUUACUCUGUCGCUGCCUGUUUGCAGUGACUGGUGCCUCAAGACAUUAUGCUUUCGUUGAAUGUGAAACUGAAAGAGAAAUGAGAUGUGCAUAUAAGGUACUUUUACUCUGUUCUAGGCAUGACAUUGUGCUUGAUACUGGGUAGAAGCCUAAUGUUAAUUCUUCUGAAUUGGUCCUCAUGUCUUUGAGAUAGUCCGUGACAUGCUGCUGAUGAGGCUUUUAUUGUUGACUCAUUGUUGACGCUUUGCCAUGCACCUUCUUAAGAGCUUUUUGGGUGCCUUUCUCAUCAUAUCUAAUAGCUAGAUACAUUGCGUAAGUCAACCUUGAGAUCUAACUAUGAGUGCAUUUGGAUUCAGAACGAAGGAGAUUGGAAGACAUGCAAAAUUAAGAUAAAAAUCUGUAUAGAGAACUCAUUUGAGAGCUUCUUCAUGUGGUUGCUGCUUUUAGUCACCAUUUUAUUUAGGUUGAAGAUUAAUGUCAAUAGGAUGUGAACUUGAUGUAUGUUGGUUAUGAAGCACUGAUGCCAUGUUUUGUUGAAAAACUACUGCAAUGUUCUUAGUGAAAAAAGACUGGAAGAAAUGUGUAACCAAUAAAAAAUUAGGAAAAGCUACUAGAAAAUCACACAUUUUCACCAACCGAAAUUUGAAGGAGUAGUUGUGAUCCUUUUGGACACUUAAAAAAUCCUAGUAUUCUGCUGCAAAGAUGAAGCUGGGCCACAUUUGAUGAUACUAACUCUUUCUAUAUUGUCAUUAUAUGAUCAGUCGCCCAAUCCCAUUGGAUGACUUGAAGAGGCUGGGCAUUCCACCUCCUCCAGAGGGACGUGACAUGUCUCGCUUUGAGGUAUUGUCUCUGUUGUAUCUAAAUGCUGCAUAUAGCUCCAUCGAAAUGCAUUUAGCCCUCCUGAGUUAGUUAUGAAAUUUCAUUUACCAUUAACUUCUAUACCAGAGUGUCGUGAUAUUUCUUAGGUUAAGUCUGACUAUAAUUCAAAACUAAGACCUGGACCAGCUAAAUGAACGAUGGCGUCGAUGGAGGUACUAGCCCUCACUAAUUGAGCUCACUUCCUUAUUCAUUCCAUCAUCCAAUAUCCACUGCUCAAAUGUUUUAUAUUCUUGUUGUACAAGAAGGGAUUUUCCAUGAAAAGGGUGCUCGCCUUUUUACUCAUGAAAAUAUAAUUCCACUGUUGAGAAUUCCUUUUCACCUUAUUUCCAUAAGUAAGCUUGGCCUAAUCAGCCUCUUUAUAGAUCUGCCUAGAUCCUUGUUCCCCUCCCCUUCUAAGACACUCUUCUGGCAUUUGUGGAAACCAUCACCCUUGAGGACUUAAUUUGUGGGCAUGGAUGAGCAUGAAGGUUAAGUGGCAUUCCCGAGGUUGCUGUAGAUUUGGUGGGAGGUUACCCAGGGGGAAUUUUUCGGUUUUGAAGUUAAUCCACUUUUUCAUGGCUUUAUUUGGGAUAAAGGCAUGUGGAAACGUUAACUCUUAGCUUUACUUUCUUCUAUAUUAAGGUUUUACUGAAAUUCUUUACUUGAACGUACUAUUAGAAAUGGAACUAGUAAUACUUUUCCUUGGUAUAGUUUUCCAUGCUAUUGUUUGCCUUUUGCCCCUCAACGGGCAUAAUGUUUCCAAAUCCAUUAGGGGGAGGAAGCUAUAAUUAGCUUUCUGUACUUCAGUGCACCUUACUGGAUGAAUUUGGGUUUGUUAAGUCCUGUGGAGCGACUGGCCUUGGAGACUAAGUUUAUGCCCAUUUGGUGAUUGGGUUGCAUAACAUUUCGAACUCCAUUAGGGGAGGAGGCUAUAAUUAGCUUUCUGUAUUUCAUUGCACCUUGAUGGAUGUAUUUGGGUCUGUUAAGUUCCGCGGAGUGACUGGCCUUGGAGACAAAGUUUACGCACUUUUGGUGAAUGGGCUCGGCCUUCUUUUCCCCUUUUGACUUUCCUGUGAUAAUUCCAUGGCAAUUUGCACUGCCUCAUGUUGAGUUCAUUCUCCUUUAGGAAAUUUGCAAGAAGAGUAUCUGAGCAGUAGCCUUUUUGAGUUUUUCAUGAGUCGUGACAUUUAUUAUGAAGCUUGUAUAGCAGAAUGUCAUGAUCUUGUAUCUUUUUCAGGUUCCAUCACCCCCUAGAAGAGGACAGGGUUUGUUAGAUAAGGAAGAAGGAUCUCACAGAAGCUCUAGCAACAGAGAAGAGCAUACUCACAGAGGAAACUCCGAGGACAGGGAAGAUCGCGUGCAUGGGAGGAGCCCUGGUGAUACAUUAGAUCACUCUUACGACAAAAGUUCCCAAGGAAGAACAUCGCCAUGACAAGAGGCGCCAUCAGGAUCAGGAGCUUUCCAAUAGGAAGAGCUCGCUGGAAUUAGAAGAGAAGCACCAUUACAGAAGAUCUGUGGAGAAGGAAGAAACUGUAAGAAGCUCUUUGGAUGGGGAAGAGCGCUCUCGCAAACGGAGCUCCACUGAUGAUGAUGGACGUAUCAAGAAAAGGAGCAGAAGAAGUUCAUCGGAGAGAGAGGAUCAUAAAGAGAGAGACUCUUCCGAUAGAGAGGAGCGCCAUCACAAAAGCAGGUCUCGAGAUGAGAAAGAACGCUCUUAUAAGCGUCACAAACAUCGUGAGAGAUCCCAUCAGCAUGAGGGGAAAAGAUCAAUCAGUCAAGGAAUAUCCAUCUGAUUAUUGAUUUUUGGGCAGUUUGUCUUUGGUUUGAAUCCGGAGAAACAUGCACGUAGGGAUUGCUUUUUGCUUGCCUUCUACAGAGUGUAAUAAGGAGAAUGAUGUGGAUAGAGAUUUUAAGUAAUUUUACCUCACAUGCUGAGGCGUCCUUGACAUUACUACAACGAAGCCACAGAGAGUGACCAGCGGGACUUUUGCAGAGGACGGUUUGCCGGUCUUGAGGAACUAGAGGUGUUAGAAACUCGGUUAUUGAUUGCACGAGUGAUGGUCGUCUUGUUUCUGUGAUUGAGUUUAACCAGAGGUGUGAAUACGGAAGGCAUACUGAGGGAGAAGUCGUCUUGUUUCUGUGACUGAGUUUAACCAGAGCCGUGAAUACGAAAGGCAAACUGAGGGAGACUUCGCCAUCCGGAACACCUAAUUCCUUCCGGAGGUACUCCAUCUGAGUAACAACUUUUAGAUGUGCCAACAAUUGUCAUUGAAAGCAACUCUUCAAUUGGAUACAUGACGGGUUGUGCACAGAUUGGCAAGGGAAAUCGAAUUGUUAUCGCAUAAGCGCAGGCUAACGCACCUUUUCAUCUUUUAGGCACUCUAGUGCUAGUCUUUUGUUAUUCGUAACAUAAUUUCCUUAUCAGGAAGCUGCUUCACUCCCACGCAGAAGACAAUACUAAGCUCUGUAUCCUUUCGGUCUGUUUAAGGCCCAAUUCUCUAAAUUUCUCUGCUGAAAAAAUCAUCUCACAGUUCAUCUACUCUUCUCGAGGGAGGACGGGGUCCCCCUAAUCACUUUUGAGUAUUAGGUAUCAUACUGUUCCCGAUUAACUUCGCAUAUUAGCGUGACCAGGUCUUCGGAAAUGAGUUCAUCCAUCUUAGACAAAUGACGAGAAGGUGAUUUAUCCAAAAGUGAACCGACACCUCCAUUUCAUCCUGUUGUGUCCUCUGAGUCCCUAAAAAUGAAUGAACAUAAUGACAAAGGAAUGGAAUGGACCCGAUUGGGAUGAUGUCACGUUGAUUUACGUUGAGUUCGGCAUGAUGGAAAGGAAUGGAAUGGAAAAGGUUUCAAUUUCUUUGUUUGGUGAUUAUAGACAAAUAGUUCGAAAUGGAGAGAGGAAGGGUGAUUCAUUUAUGUUCAAUUUAUCUCUUUCAAUUUGGAUGCUAUGAGGUAGGCCUUAGGAAGUUCUUGUAGAGGAAGGAGGGAUUCUUAAUUGUUACAAGGAUGGAACGGAAUGUGAUUUCUGCAAAUUAAAUUCUCAAUUCAUUAAUAGACCCGUGUUCAAUUCAAUAAAGGAAAAAUUCCAAAUAAGGGUAUGAAAUGUAUUCAAUUUUCAAGAAAGGGUCUAGAAAUGGAUAUUGUUCCAAGUAAAGGUUUAAAGUAUUCUUAUUUUUUUAAAGAAAGAUUUGAAGUUGAAUUUAUUUCAAAUAAGGACAACUUUUCAGUGAGUUAAAGGUAUUUUUGUCCUUUUAUCUUAUUUGACCCUUUUUUUUUUCGUGGUUUUCUCUUUGUCUUGGCCAUCGACGAUGCCUAAAGAGGGUUGGGCAAGCUCGCCUCACCUCAUCCUGGCUAAGGCCACCCUCACUAAUAGUCGGUGAGGGAUGGCCUUGCCUCGAUGAGGCCACCCUCGAAAGCUACAAGCGAGGCUAGUCCUCGCUAGAUUUGGGAGUGGGUCGCCUCGCUAGCCUUAGGCGAAUCCGGCCCUCACCAAAUCUAGGCGAGAAAAUGAAGGUACUUUUGAUUUAUGUUUGGAAUUUUUCCUUAAAUAAAUACCAAGUAUAUUUGAAUUAAUAACUAUCAAGUAUUUAGUUGAAAACAAUAAAUAUCAUUUAACCUUUUGAUAUUAUAAAUAAUUUAAUUGUUGAGGACAUUUAACAAGCAAGUAUUUUAUCAUAUUUGUUUAGUUCACUAUAAUUGUAAAUAAGCCGUAAAGUUAUAAGUGGUCGAACCUACUAUAAUAUCUAUGAUCUCUCAAUUUCUUAGAUCACAUGUUUGUUGUUAUUAUUAGGUUAACUCAUUUUCUAACAGAUUAAUAAACAUAAUUUAUGGUAGCAAUUGUUUGUCGAGUUAUACAAAUUAGUUGUCCUUUUUUUUUCUUGCUUAAAAUUUAUUUUGAGGGGGUUUGGGGAUAUAAAAUUGAAAACUUUAUGUAUUAAACUGAGAAGAGAUGUGAGAUUUAUUAUGCGCAAAACUUCUGUUCAUGCAAUGACCUUCCUAGACUUGUUCCUCCACUACUGGAUGUUGGGAGGCAUAAAAAUCGGAGCAGGGGAAGAGUAGUAAGAGGUUCAAACCCAAAGAUAAAAUGGAGGAGACUUCAUAUUUGUGAAACAAACCAACAUGAAGUCGCCAGAUAUCCUGACAUCCAAGUCCAUUGCCCAGGUUUUGAUGCACAAGAACCGGCCUCUCAACAUGUGGGAGUCUCGGUAACUCUCGGUCGGAAUUUCAAAGUCUUCUGUUGAAAAUCCAAAGAUGGAAGACUUCCAAGUCUCAAUAACUUUGAGUUGGAAUUUCAAAGUCUUCCUUCAAAAAUCCAAAGAUGGAAGACUUCCGAGUCUCAUUAACUCUCGAUUGGAAUUUCAAAGUCUUCCUUCAAAAAUCCAAAGAUAAAAGACUUCCGAGUCUCAGUAACUCUCAGUUGGAAUUUCAAAGUUUUCCUUCAAAACUCCAAAGAUGGAAGACUUCCGAGUCUUAGUAACUCUCGGUUGGAAUUUCAAAGUCUUCCUUCAAAAAUCCAAAGAUGGAAGACUUCCAAGUCUCCUUUUUUUAGUAGACUUUUACAGUUUUUUCUUGCCCUUCAUUUACUCAAUAUAGAACAUUGAAAGAUAAAGGUAUAGAUAGUUUUUUCUUGAAUGACUCAAUGUGGAACAUUCAAAGGUAUAGAUAGUUCAUGAUCUUGCUAGUUUUUUCCAAUUAGAAUCUUCUUUGAGAGUUUUUUCUUUAACCUCUUGCAUUUUUAUUAUUUAUAUCUUCGUCUUCAGCAACUUUGAGACCUCGCAAGAACUUGAUAUGAUUUCCCUUCGUGGUAUUUGCUAUAUUUCGUAACAUUGACAUAACAUAAUUGAACAAUUGGCUGCCAUUUAACCUUGCUCUCAAGCCUCAAGUCUUGCUUAGCUCUCUUCACAUAUUGCUAGAAUUUAUCAUUCAAUCAAAAGUUACGCUUACCCUUUGCCAAUUCAUGAUCUUUGCUAGAAAGUUUUAUCCUUUUCUACAGAAGUUUCGAGUCUAUUAAAAGUUAUGACUGGAAUAAAAUGACUCUAAACUAGUAUGAAAAUCACAUGAUUGAUUACUCAAAUGAGAACAAUUUUAGAUUAUUAUUCGUAGCAUGAAUGCAAUUUUGGACAAUCGUGCGCUUAUGAGUUGAGGCUUACCAAGUCAGGUACCUCUAUGGCUGAUUUCAACCCACCACAUUGCACGCUCUCUUCAUGUGGAUGAUACAAUGCACACAAAAAGAGACUAGAUAAGAUUCCAAAGGCCAUGCAGAGUUUGAACAUAAUAAGUUCCCUUCCUUGAUUAGACUUCUUGAGUUUUUUCUUACUCUUCGUUUGCUAGUGUACAAAAUCCAAAGAUGGAAGACUUUUAGGCCUCCUUCCUUGGAUUAGACUUCUCAAGUUUUUCUCUCCCUCCGUUUACUUAGUGUAGAUCAUGCAACUGAUUAAUUUGUUUUAUGUACAGGUCGGGGAUUAUAAAUACCCACCCAUCCACCCACACACUUACACAUCCACACACAGAUAGCAAAAAUGCACUUCCCUUCAUCAACAUCAUCAUCUUCUCUUAUCACCACCAUUUUCUGCUUGCUCUUGGUUAUAGCCUCCCUGUUCCUUCCAGGAGCGUAUGGCGGUAAGUGAUAUUUAUAUUUUUGGUGCUCCAAGCUUCUAAUAAUGGAGGAACACGUAAAUUGAUGAUCACGAUUCCAUGAAACUGUAGCUGACACAGCAUGACACGAGAACAUAGAGGAAAUUUUAUAAAUCUUGCUGUUUUACUUAUGAUCGCUUGGACAAUUUUGUUUCAUUGAAUAUUGAACUAAAGUUCGGGAUGAAGUUGAAUAAUUCAUGGAUGAAGUUGUGCAUUGCAUUAUAAAGUUCAGAGAUCAUUUACAUCAUUUCUCCUUUAUUAGUUAUUGAUCACGAUUUUUUGCUUGCUCUUGAUUAUAAUCUCCUUUUUCCUUCCGGGAGGUGAGUGAAUUUUACUUUUUGGUGCUUUGGGCUUUCGACAAUGGAGGGGGACAUGGAUUUCCCAAGGCAUGACACGAGAACAUGCAGCAAGUUGUAUGCAUCGUGGUGUUUUUAUUUAAGUUGCUAGGAUAUUUUGCUGCAUGGAUCAUUUAAUAAUUCUGGGCAGAUAUUUUGCUGCAUGAAUCAUUUAAUAAUUUUGGGCAGUGUUUGAUCUUUCAUAAUGAUUUCCAUUGAGUUUCUUCUUGCCUACAGAUUUGGAUCUUCUAGAUUAUGGGGAAAAUUGUCCAACAAGUCCUAAACCUAUUGUUACUCUGCUAAUUGAGUCUUAAAUUUUUUCAUUUUUUGUUAAUUGAAUCCAGUCAAUUUUGGCUGGAAUUUGCCGACAUAGACGUUAAUCGUCUUACGUGGCAUGACCGACACUGACGUUGAUAAUAUUUUAAUGUUUUCAGAUUUUUUAAUUAAUUUUUUUCCUCUUUAUCUUCUUCUUUUCUUUUUCUUUUUUUCGAUAUUGUGGCUGGCAAUGGCCUACUGGGUGAGGAUUGCGACCAGCCUCGUCCAGGUCUGGGUGCAUGGCUUUUCAAGUUUCCUCUUUGCAACAUGAGCUAUCCUCUACUUAAUGGGAGUGUAGUGACGUGCGGAGGAGAGAUCGUUUCAAUCGCCGCUUUUUAACACCCUCGCUUUGGUCGAUGUGGUGAGCCUCCCGUCCUCACGCGAACCGUUUCACCACCUCUUUCUCUUCUUCGUUUGUUUUCUUCGGUUCGAUCGAAAUUUGUUUUAGAAAAGGAUGAGCAUGAUCAUGGGCAGAUAUUGAUUCCCACAAGUCAUUGCUUUCCUUUUAGAAAAUGUUGCCCAUCUCCCACGAGUUUCAACCCUUGUUUCCCUUCCCCCUUUUUUUCAUUGAAACUUCCCUCGUAGAAGACUCCGAAAAUCUCUUUCAUUCUGCCAACCUCACUAAUCGCGGUUUCCCCCUCGACCCCUCCAUUUAAUUGAUUUCUUCAGCCGCGUUUAACCACUCGAUUCUUUCCUAGUUGUUCCUUGGCCGAGAAUCUCCAGAAUAUGCGUUCCUCAUUCACUUCCCAAUUUUACAAAAAUUAGCGCCUCAAAUCUCACCUUCCUAUGCUCGAAAAUCACACUUUCCUUGAUGGGAAUUGGUUGAACUUUCUUGCCUUAUUUCGUUUAUCUACCAAAUUCGGAAUGGCGAGCUGAGGAGCGAAGAGGAAGCCCAAGCCGAAACGCCACGUGCCCACAUCUGGCGACGCUGGCCGUCACCCUCACCCAAAAGGUUAUCGCGAAAAGAGAGACAAAAGAAAAAAAAAAAAAUUAGAAAAAUAUUAAAAUAUUGAAAAAUUUAUCCAUGGUCAACCCUGAUUGAGCUCUGAUCGUGUUAUCCACGUAGGACGGCUGUUAUUCACGCCAGCGAAGGGAAGCGCGGUGAAGGGAAGCUAUUCUCGUGGUGCUGGAGGUUCGAGUGAGUCCUCUUAUUACUCCAUAUCUCGAACCUUUCCAUCACAUUGGCUGCCUCUAGAAGGGUUUAUACAUCCGUGAAUCAUUCAUCAUACAUCUUAUUACACUCGCUUGAAAGCACUUCAAUCUCAAUUUAUCAUAUAUUCUCUAGUCAUAUAAUCAUGUAACAUGUCCAAUUUCACUUGUGCGCCAAACGAUUAAUGAUACUCUAUGUAAUUUCAUCUCCACAAAUGUAGUAUGUGCAUUUCUUAUUUAUAGCAAGAAUUAGUAACAAAACCUCAAUGCUCUGUACGGACACUUAUUUGCAUAGCAUUGUCACAACUUGGUCAAUAAGGUUUUUUACAGUAAAAUAUGUGGGGGGGGGGGGGGAUCAUGGGAAUUUCGUCAUUAUGUCAAUAAUUUCUCUGUGCUAUUCAAAUUAAUUAAAAAAAAACCAAUGUAUAUCCCAUGAAUAAUAUUUGUCUGGAGUAUAUUACUAACAGAGUCUCAAACUAAGGAGGGGGCGUGGUAAUGAGCUAUAAAAAAAAAAAUAUAGUCUCGCAUUUUCCAUAGAAAAAGUAAAAGUAAAAGUAAAAAAAGGAUAGUCUCCCAUCAUCUACUUUCUGAGAAUUAAUUUCGUUUCUUCUAGUGAGACUCAUUCCUUCAUUUCCCUCUAUAUUAAACAUGGCUGCAGAACACCGGGGACAUCCUUGAAAAAAAAACAUGUCGGUUGUUCCGAAUGCCAUCAAGCCAAGAACUUCGGGUUUCUCAUGAUCGUGAUAUAUAUGUAAUAUGUCAUAAUACUCUUGGUAUGUUCUAGAUGUAGUAGAAUUACUUCAGUUCCCUGUAUUCCGCAAAUCAUCUUCCAUACAUUCUCAUGUGUAGACUCGUCUUGACAAUAGUAAAAUAUAAAGAGAUGAGUUUCACAGUUUAAUCUUGGACAACAAAGACAUCUCAUCACUAUCUUGCACAUCAGGAAGUGGGGCAAUUUCAUUGGUCCACUCAAGGAGCCUCUUAUCUCGAUAGCUAUUCGGUGGCAUAAUUGUUCAAAAAGUCUUAAAUAUAUUGUACGAUGGUCAAUUCUCUUAUAAAAUUUUUUAUAUUUUAUUUUUUCAAUUGAUUCUAAAUUUUAUGACAAUUUGCUAAUAUAGACUUUCAUCAAUUUUGCCAGUAAAAUGCUAACAUGGUGGUCAAGUCAAUGUCGCUAUUUUGCGUAGUAUGAUCGACGAUGACGUGGAUGCAUUUUGAAAAAAAAAUUAUAUUUUCUCCUUUUUCUUUUCUUUUAAUUUUUUUCCUUCAUUGUAUUAUUGGUAGGAAAUUUUAUUUUUUUUCCAAAAUUUGUCCACGCUAGUGGCGGUCAUGCCACAUUAGAUGGUGACGCGCCAUUUCAAUGAUUUUAGGUCAAAAUUGACCAAAAGGGCUACUUUGGUCUUGGAUUAAAUUGGCAAAAUUAAAAAAAAAAAUCAAGAUUGUACUAACUACCAUAUGAUAGGUUUACGACUUGUUGGGCAAUUUUCCAUUAUUCAGUCGUGACAAGCGGGCUGCCUAGUGUAAUAAGAAUGGCUUGACUUUCUAAGAGAAAUGUAUACUCAAAAUUAGCAGCACCCACCCCCAAAAAAAAAAAAAAAAAGAAAAAGAAAAAAAGAAAGGAGUGCAUGAACAAGACUGUGAAGCUAUAACAAUGAUAAUAGGUGCAACUGUGAUAAGGAUUACAUUGCAGUCGUUGGGGGGCAAACCAUGAAUUUUAGCUUGAAAAAGACCUAUAGACAAGUCGUACUUGCCCCAUGGUCCAUGAAUGACGGCUACUCCAGAAAUUAAGCACUACCCGAGUCCAUUCUAAGAAUACUUUACUCAACUUUUUGUUUGCUGAGCUUCGGUAAACACAUACUAUAUUUUAUUCUUCAUAAGCAAAUGCACAUGAUAUAUAUGAGGUGAUAGAGAUUUCUAUGAGAAAUUGUACAAAAACAUAUAAAGGCAUUAUUCUAGAUGUUAUAUCAUUUGGAUGUACAAUGCAAAGAAGAUCCAUGUCGAGCAAUACGGGUGCUGACAAAGAAAGGAUUUUUCACUCUGGACUUUUCCACCUAUCAGCUCGCCCUAUUGCCCUCAUCAUUAGUAUGUAUUUCUAUUGAGUCACAGGGAGGGAUGACCAAAAUCUGUGCUAUCCGCUUGGCUUACCAACUAGAGAAGGUUAUUGGCAUUUUAUGGCAAUGCAAAAUCCGAAAUACACAUUUAUUCCCUUAUUCGGUCUCACAACCCCAGCCCUGGCGGGCCCUUAAUAAUAAAAAAAAGGAAAAUAUAAGAUGAUAAGCAUUAGGCUAUCAAUUUCCAACUACAAUUAACAAAAUAGGUUAACAGAUAAAUUGUCAAAAAGUUUACGACUAUAUUGACUAAAUUGAGAAGUUUAGAAUAAAACGAGUAAGUUCAUAACUUUCCUAAGCAAAAGGAAGGAGCGAUCAAGAAUCAAAGUUAGAAAUAUAUUUUGGUUGAGAACCGCAAAGGAUUCGGCACGACGAGCGAGAAUGAAAUCACCGCAUUGUCUCCCUCCCUCUCUCCCUCUCUAGACUUUGAGCAAGUUGUUCGUUUCUAGCUGCACAGUUCAGAAGAUGCUCGGUGGCUUCUGCUGCCGAAUUUCAAACUCUGUCAUCGUCUACAUCGUGCCUGAGAAAUGCGGGGGUCGGUUUGGUCAGGCCGAUUUCGAUUUUCAAGUUCUUGAUGGCUCCUGAAUUUUGUCAACAUUUUGGACACUUUCCAUUAGCGGCUUUUCGUCACCCGCACCCAAAGGCUAGAGAGAGAAAAAAGAGAAUAUAUUUUGGAGAGAGAGUGAAUCAUAAAAUCCUUUAAUUGUUUAGAUGCGUUUGCUUCAUGAAAUAUCGUCAAUUUGAAAUACUUCUAAAUAUACUCACUUCUAUUACUUGUAACAAUGAAUUAAUGAGAGAAACAUUUUAUCAUCAAUAACAAGUUUAGGCAAAGAUUAUUAUUGAUGAGAAAAUAUAUUCCAUUAACUAGUUUUUCUAAUCAAUACAAAUAACUAUAUUUAGAAAAAUGUUUGUGAAUCAUUGAUUUUUCAUGGAAAAAAAUCAAUAAUAACUUUCGGAACUCAACCUCUUUCAUUUUUAUUACUAAUAUCACCGUUAGCUUCGUUAUCUCAUUUUGGCCAUCAAAGACCUUUACUCUUAUAACUAAAAUUAAAGGAUUUUAGUCACUAAUGAGGACAAUUAGAGAAUAUUGCUAGAUUAAUAAGGCAUUAUGUAGUUUAGCAUCCAUAAAAAUUUAUCUAAUAGCCAUCUUCACGAUCGAUUCAAUAAGUUACUCUAGUUUCUAUUUUUCAAAGUAUUAAAAAGCACAAGUAAAAUUCACCAUGUAAUUGCAUAAUCCCAUUUUAAUAUCACGUAAUAAUCAAUUAUGAUUAUAAAAUAUUUUAGUAUAAUAAAUGGAAUGUUGUACAGUAGAUAGUAUUGCUAUAUCAUAAUUAAUGCUAAUAAAAUAUUAUGAAAAAUUUAGCAUUAUUAUAUUCUAAUAAAUUUUUUAUGAAUAAUUAAAAAUAACAAGACGUUGUAUUAUCGACAUUUAGUAACCUAAUAAUUGAUAUUGUCUUCCUAAUGAAUCCCCGUUCCUCUAAAAGUAGGAACCAUCCCCAUAUUUAGCAAAUAAACUUAAUAAAGUCAAACGAUGAGACGUUAAAAAAGUUCAGAACCCGGUUAAUUAAUUUCCUUAUGGAAAAAGAAAAAUACCUUUUCGAUUACUAAGUAAACUUUCAUAAAAAAAAAAAAAAAAAAAGAGCAUCCUCCCAUCUUCCUCUGUUUUUGCUGCGCUUUCGUCUUCCUCGGAGACUCUGUUCCUAGAGAGAGAAAGUAGAGAGAGAGGGAGAUGAGCAGGAACAGCAGCAGCAGGCUGAACUCGGUGUUCUACGCGGAGUCGUACCACCCGAUCCAGGCGGGCAGCAUCGACGGCACCGACGUCCUCCCCCACGACAACGCCGUCUCCCGCGCCCACCUCUGCUCCUCCGCCGGCCUCUGUAAAAUCCCCCCUCCCUCCUCCCUCUUCUCUUUCCCUUUUUCUUUGCUUUACUUCCUGGGUUUCUGACUCCGUUCUCGAUUCCCCCCCAGAUGACCCGUUUGGCGAUCCCAAGGCCGUGGGCGACCCGUACUGCACCCUCUUCGUCGGGCGCCUCUCCCACUUCACCUCCGAGGACACUCUCCGCGAGGUCUGGCCUUUGUCUUGAUUUUUGAGGUUUUCUUUCAUUCCCAUUUCUCUCUUCUCUCUCUUUUUGAGGAAGAGUAGUCUUUUCUUUUCUUUUCUUUUCUUUUUGGGGUGUGGGUGUUUCAGCUGUUGAGCUCGUUUGAGGUGACAAUGGCUGCCUGCCUGCCUGCCUGCCUGCCUGCUUGCCUGCUUGGGAGAUAAAAUGAUUCGACUUGGCGUCGUUCUCGUGAUUUAUGAGGGGAGUGUUGGGAGAUGGAACUUUGUUUUGUUUUUGAGGAUGGGAAUGGAAAUGCUUGCCGAAAUAUGGCAGUUUUGGUGUUUAAAAAACGUAUUUUUGGCGGUUCCGACUGUUAGAUGGAGCAUUUUGCCUUCAGUUACCGCUUUUUCUAUCUGUCUUUCAAUUGAUUUAGGCUUUUUUGACCUACAGUAUGAGUUCCCUUGUGCAGGCUAUGAGCAAGUAUGGUCAUGUGAAAAACUUGCGCUUGGUCAGGCACAUUGGUAACCAUCUUAUUAGCUCUUGUAAUUUCUAUGAUUUUCAGUUCGUCGAGAGAUCAUGAUAAGCGCUUCGGGUUGAUAGUAAUUCAAACUUCACUUAAUAUGAAACAAAUCUUGGUAGCUUGCACUUUAUUCACUGUUUUGACAGAGCAGCAAUGCUCGAUCUCUAACUUAUUAUAUGCUUAGUUUUUUGAUACCCUAAUUUUUGUGGAGAUGUUUUAGCGGCAGUAGUGUAUAUAACUUUUUAACAUUACCGAUAGCCAAUUUGAAGCUAGUAAGGAUCGCUGGUUUUAUCAUAUUCUUUAUCCUGUGCAUAUGAGCCGAUUGCAUUUUGGAUGGCAUAGUUGUUUGUGCCUCCUCUUAAAUUCAAGGUAUUGGCUCUACAAAUUUCUUACUCUGUCGCUGCCUGUUUGCAGUGACUGGUGCCUCAAGACGUUAUGCUUUCGUUGAAUAUGAAACUGAAAGAGAAAUGAGACGUGCGUAUAAGGUCUUUUACUCUGUUCUAGGCAUGACAUUGUGCCUGAUACUGGGUAGAAGCCUAAUGUUAAUUCUUCUGAAUUGGUCCUCAUGUCUUUGAGAUAGUCCAUGACAUGCUGCUGAUGAGGCUUUUAUUGUUGACUCAUUGUUGACGCUUUGCCAUGCACCUUCUUAGGAGCUUUUGGGUGCCUUUCUCAUCAUAUCUAAUAGCUAGAUACAUUUUGUAAGUCAACCUAGAGAUCUAACUAUGAGUGCAUUUGGAUUCAGAACGAAGGAGAUUGGAAGACAUGCAAAAUUAAGAUAAAAAUCUGUAUAGAGAACUCAUUUGAGAGCUUCUUCAUGUGGUUGCUGCUUUUAGUCACCAUUUUAUUUAGGUUGAAGAUUAAUGUCAAUAGGAUGUGAACUUGAUGUAUGUUGGUUAUGAAGCACUGAUGCCAUGUUUUGUUGAAAAACUACUGCAAUGUUCUUAGUGAAAAAAGACUGGAAGAAAUGUGUAACCAAUAAAAAAUUAAGAAAAGCUACUAGAAAAUCACACAUUUUCACCAACCGAAAUUUGAAGGAGUAGUUGUGAUCCUUUUGGACACUUCAAAAAUCCUAGUAUUCUGCUGCAAAGAUGAAGCUGGGCCACAUUUGAUGAUGCUAACUCUUUCUAUAUUGUCAUUAUAUGAUCAGUCGCCCAAUCCCAUUGGAUGACUUGAAGAGGCUGGGCAUUCCACCUCCUCCAGAGGGACGUUACAUGUCUUGCUUUGAGGUAUUGUCUCUGUUGUAUCUAAAUGCUGCAUAUAGCUCCAUCGAAAUGCAUGUUUUAGCCCUCCUGAGUUAGUUAUGAAAUUUCAUUUACCAUUAACUUCUAUACCAGAGUGUCGUGAUAUUUCUUAGGUUAAGUCUGACUAUAAUUCAAAACUAAGACCUGGACCAGCUAAAUGAACGAUGGCGUCGAUGGAGGUACUAGCCCUCACUAAUUGAGCUCACUUCCUUAUUCAUUCCAUCAUCCAAUAUCCACUGCUCAAAUGUUUGAUAUUCUUGUUGUACAAGAAGGGAUUUUCCAUGAAAAGGGUGCUCGCCUUUUUACUCAUGAAAAUAUAAUUCCACUGUUGAGAAUUCCUUUUCACCUUAUUUCCAUAAGUAAGCUUGGCCUAAUCAGCCUUUUUAUAGAUCUGCCUAGAUCCUUGUUCCCCUCCCCUUCUAAGACACUCUUCUGGCAUUUGUGGAAACCAUCACCCUUGAGGACUUAAUUUGUGGGCAUGGAUGAGCAGGAAGGUUAAGUGGCAUUCCCGAGGUUGGUGUAGAUUUGGUGGGAGGUUACCCAGCGGGAAUUUUUCAGUUUUGAAGUUAAUCCACUUUUUCGUGGCUUUAUUUGGGAUAAAGGCAUGUGGAAACCUUUAACUCUUAGCUUUACUUUCUUCUAAACUAAGGUUUUACUGAAAUUCUUUACUUGAACGUACUAUAAGAAAUGGAACUAGUAAUACUUUUCCUUGGUAUAGGUUUCCAGGCUAUUGUUUGCCUUUUGCCCCUCAACAGGCAUAAUGUUUCCAACUCCAUUAGUGGGAGGAAGCUGUAAUUAGCUUUCUGUACUUCAUUGCACCUUACUGGAUGAAUUUGGGUUUGUUAAGUCCUGUGGAGCGACUGGCCUUGGAGACUAAGUUUAUGCCCGUUUGGUGAUUGGGUUGCAUAAGAUUUCGAACUCCAUUAGGGGAGGAGGCUAUAAUUAGCUUUAUGUAUUUCAUUGCACCUUGAUGGAUGUAUUUGGGUCUGUUAAGUUCCGCGGAGUGACUGGCCUUGGAGACAAAGUUUACGCACUUUUGGUGAAUGGGCUUGACCUUCUUUUCCCCUUUUGACUUUCCUGUGAUAAUUCCAUGGCAAUUUGCAGUGCCUCAUGUUGAGUUCAUUCUCCUUUAGGAAAUUUGCAAGAAGAGUAUCUGAGCAGUAGCCUUUUUGAGUUUUUCAUGAGUCGUGACAUUUAUUAUGAAGCUUGUAUAGCAGAAUGUCAUGAUCUUGUAUCUUUUUCAGGUUCCAUCACCCCCUAGAAGAGGACAGGGUUUGUUAGAUAAGGAAGAAGGAUCUCACAGAAGCUCUAGCAACAGAGAAGAGCAUACUCACAGAGGAAACUCCGAGGACAGGGAAGAUCGCGUGCAUGGGAGGAGCCCUGGUGAUACAUUAGAUCACUCUUACGACAAAAGUUCCCAAGGAAGAACAUCGCCAUGACAAGAGGCGCCAUCAGGAUCAGGAGCUUUCCAAUAGGAAGAGCUCGCUGGAAUUAGAAGAGAAGCACCAUUACAGAAGAUCUGUGGAGAAGGAAGAAACUGUAAGAAGCUCUUUGGAUGGGGAAGAGCGCUCUCGCAAACGGAGCUCCACCGAUGAUGAUGGACGUAUCAAGAAAAGGAGCAGAAGAAGUUCAUCGGAGAGAGAGGAUCAUAAAGAGAGAGACUCUUCUGAUAGAGAGGAGCGCCAUCACAAAAGCAGGUCUCGAGAUGAGAAAGAACGCUCUUAUAAGCGUCACAAACAUCGUGAGAGAUCCCAUCAGCAUGAGGGGAAAAGAUCAAUCAGUCGAGAAUAUCCAUCUGAUUAUUGAUUUUUGGGCAGUUUGCCUUUGGUUUGAAUCCAGAGAAACAUGCACGUAGGGAUUGCUUUUUGCUUGCCUUCUACAGAGUGUAAUAAGGAGAAUUAUGUGCAUAGAGAUUUUAAGUAAUUUUACCUGACAUGCUGAGGCGUCCUCGACAUUACUACAACGAAGCCACAGAGAGUGACCAGCGGGACUUUUGCAGAGGAUGGUUUGCCGGUAUUGAGGAACUAGAGUUGUCAGACCCUCGGUUAUUGAUUGCAAGCAAGAUAGUCGUCCUGUUUCUGUGAUUGAGUUUAACCAGAGGUGUGAAUACGGAAGGCAUACUGAGGGAGAAGUCGUCUUGUUUCUGUGACUGAGUUUAACCAGAGCCGUGAAUACGAAAGGCAAACUGAGGGAGACUUCGCCAUCCGGAACACCUAAUUCCUUCCGGAGGUAGUCCAUCUGCGUCACAACUUUUAGAUGUGCCAACAAUUGUCAUUGAAAGUAACUCUUCAAUUGGAUAUAUGACGGAUUUGUUCAUGCACUGAACUUCUGUUCAUGCUCAGAUAUAUGACGGGUUGGGAGGCAUUAAAAUCGGAGCAGGGGAAAAGUAGUAAGAGGUUCAAACCCAAAGAUAAAAUGGAGGAGACUUCAUAUCUGUGAAACAAACCAACAUGAAGUCACCAGAUAUCCUGACAUCCAACUCAAUUGCCCAGGCUUUGAUGCACAAGAAUCGGCCUCUCAACAUGUGGGAGUCUUGGUAACUCUGGUUGGAAUUUCAAAGUCUUCCUUCGAAAAUCCGAAGAUGGAAUACUUCCAAGUCUCAGUAACCCUCGGUUGGAAUAUCAAAGUCUUCCUUCAAAAAUCCAAAGAUGAAAGACUUCCAAGUCUCGGUAACCCUCGGUUGGAAUAUCAAAGUCUUCCUUCAAAAAUCCAAAGAUGAAAGACUUCGAAGUCUCCUUCCUUGAGUAGACUUCUACAGUUUUUUUCUUGUCCUUCCUUGACUCAAUGUAGAACAUCCAAAGAUAAAGACUUUCUUGUAAUGAUUGCUAGGUCCUCUGUAGAUAGCUUAGAACUCACACUGAGAAACACUUCGAUUACGAUAGUGAUGUAAAUCUUGUAAACUCUACACCUUGACAUAUCUAAGAUUAUAUGUGCUCCACAUAGAUUCUUUAAAUCGAUUAAGAUUUUUUCAAUGAUCAUAUCAACGUUCUUUUUCAGCGGGAGUUUAACUUGAAAUAUAAUAACUUUUGC